UCUCGCUUUCCCAUCAGAGAGGUUGAAUGUCUGCAGGACAUGCUCAUCAUUUGUCUAUCCGUGUUCUUCUUUUAAACAUCAUCUAGAACUUUCACAUAGAUGCAGACAUCACCUGCCAGAGUCACACUUAAGGUUUUAUGACAAAAACCGCAGGUUAGAAAUCAGCGGGACAGAUGAUUUCAGACUUGUGAAGAAGGGCACAAACUCUGUAGGUUAUAGAAGCAUUUAUGCUUGGUUUUCCAUAGUUUCUACGCUUUUGUUUUUUGUGUCCAUCCAAGAACACAUAAACAUUGGGAACACAUCCAAGAAGCUUUUUUUGGUUCUUUUGGAGGUUCUUCUCCCUCUCACACUCAUAUCCCUCCAUUUGUUGGCAUCGCCUCUGAGUUAUCGCAGCCAUGUGGGAGUUCCGGUCCAUGUCUUUUUGGCGGGCUGUGUUUGCCGAGUUCUAUGGCACCAUGUUCUUUGUGUUUUUCGGGCUGGGAUCAGCUCUGCGUUGGACCACCGGACCACACAACGUGCUCCAAGUUGCCUUCUGCUUCGGUCUGGCAGCUGCCACACUCAUCCAGUCUAUUGGUCACAUCAGCGGUGGCCACAUCAACCCGGCUGUCACGUUCGCCUACCUGAUUGGCUCCCAGAUGUCCCUGUUUCGUGCGUUCUUCUACAUCUGUGCUCAGUGCUUGGGAGCUCUAGCUGGAGCCGCUGUGCUGUAUGGGGUCACGCCAAGCAAUAUGAGAGGCAAUCUCGGCCUGAACACGCUUCAGCCAGGCAUCAGUCUGGGAAUGGCCACCACUAUAGAGAUAUUCCUGACUCUGCAACUCGUGGUUGUGGUCUUCGCUGUGACGGAUGAGAGGCGAAAUGGACGACUGGGGUCCGCUGCCCUGUCCAUCGGCUUCUCAGUGCUUGUGGGGCACCUGCUGGGGAUGUAUUACACUGGAGCUGGAAUGAACCCUGCCAGGUCUUUUGCCCCUGCUGUACUUUUCAGGAACUUUAUUAACCAUUGGGUGUACUGGGUGGGCCCUAUGAUCGGCAGUGCUAUGGGCGCUCUGCUCUACGACUUCAUGCUCUUUCCCCGGAUGCGCGGUCUGUCAGAGAGACUGGCUGUCCUCAAGGGCAACAGACCUCCCGAGGCCGAAGCCCAGCAGGAGACCCGAGGGGAACCGAUUGAGCUCAAAACACAAGCCUUAUAAACACGGCCAGGAAACUUUGGAUCCCUGACGCGACACAUACAUACGUACGAUCAUUUCUGACACCUCAUCCUCACACACCUCUUACAUGCCAACCGAGUUUGCUGAAGGGAGAAUCACACACACUUCCAAAGGCAAUUGAGACUCUAUAACCCCUUCCCAAGGACUAUGAAUGAGGGUAAGAAGAGGACUUCCUGUUGUGGACUCUGUACCGCCAGGUAUAGGGAGCGAGAUCAGGUGGCUAACGCCACUCAGGGGCACCUCUGUCGUUUCUAGUCUACUAAGAGUGAAAUACACUAGAAGUGGACUUCUGCAUGCUUUCCAGUUUCACAGGGUUUAAAUCUCACACAUUCAUUUCAGUUUAUUUUUUCUAUGAUUUUUCAGAUGUGACACAUGUACUAUAUUAUUAGCAUUUUGCAACCGAUUUCUUUACAUUCUACUUACCGUCGACAUUAUUCAGUUGUGCGUGGUGUGUGUGUGUUUUCCGAGAGUUUCCAGUUUGGCUCUUCCAUUUCCACCAUUCGCCAUGUGUUUGUAUUCAUGCGAUGUUCUUUUUUCUAUCUCCCAGAAUGAAGGAAACAUUCCUUUGAACCUUGGUUUAGGUGAAUGUUAAUUCACGACUAAAAGCUUUAUAAAUCCUUUGGGAAUUUGGAUCCCUCUUUGAGUCUGCUUCAAACUGUUGUAUUGUUUAACUGUGGCCUAAUGGCCCAGCAUGUGUUUCUUUAAAAGAAGCACAGUCACACCAUCAUUCAUAUAAAAUAAUAAACACACAAAACACAACUAUUGUGAUACCCUACCUUUUAGCUUUUACCUGAUAAAAGCACUUCAUUUUCUUCCCGUCGUGUCAUUUUCAGAACUUGAUUUUAUACUUCCAAAAGUAUUGAGUACAUUUUCACUGAUUCAUACAGUUUCAGGCAUUUUCAUUGAACUUUUUCUGCCAUAAAUGCAUGCAUAGAUGUCUUGUUUAGAUUAGGGGGUUUGGCAUUAUUUUGUGUGUAAAUAGUUUAAUUAGACAAAAGCAAUGGUAUUUUGUCUCAGGCAAGAUAAUAUACAUCUAAUUCAUUGUAAAAGAAAUUUGAAACCACUAAUAUGAGUAGACCUGGUUCCAAACAUCCUGGACGCAUUAUGAUACAAUGGCUAUUCCUGUUUUACACGGUUGAAGAGGGAUUUGCGAAGGUAAUUCAGUCAACUCUUUCCCUUGGAUUAGAUGAUUGCUGAGCAACUGGAUUUAAAUGCACAUUCAUGUUCUUGUAGCAAUUGGAUCUGAUGGAAUGAAAAGGCGAUGGCUACACCCACCCUUUGUCUCUCUGCACUCUUUCCACUAGUGUCUUCUUAUCCAAGAUCUGACUGAAGGAAGACCAGAGUCACAUGAAAGAUCUUCAAACCUCACCAUUGGGCUCUGUAAGCAAACUCUUUUUGAAGCCAUUUAAUUAAAUGGACUCUACAUAUAAACGUCAA
Sinocyclocheilus grahami is the source of this 2642-nucleotide RNA transcript. It is a transcript of the gene named major intrinsic protein of lens fiber a, with no coding region annotated. The record is from RefSeq and is a predicted model, not a curated record. Lineage: Eukaryota; Metazoa; Chordata; Actinopteri; Cypriniformes; Cyprinidae. The transcript is spliced from 6 exons.